This 765-nucleotide ribosomal RNA is filed under the name uncultured Streptococcus sp. RNAcentral describes it as "bacterial SSU rRNA". It matches the Rfam family "Bacterial small subunit ribosomal RNA", at positions 28 to 776 of the family's 1533-position model. Lineage: Bacteria; Bacillati; Bacillota; Bacilli; Lactobacillales; Streptococcaceae. The record is from RNAcentral.
GACGAACGCUGGCGGCGUGCCUAAUACAUGCAAGUAGAACGCUGAAGAGAGGAGCUUGCUCUUCUUGGAUGAGUUGCGAACGGGUGAGUAACGCGUAGGUAACCUGCCUGGUAGCGGGGGAUAACUAUUGGAAACGAUAGCUAAUACCGCAUGAAAUUGCUUAUCGCAUGAUAAUUAAUUGAAAGAUGCAAUUGCAUCACUACCAGAUGGACCUGCGUUGUAUUAGCUAGUUGGUGAGGUAACGGCUCACCAAGGCGACGAUACAUAGCCGACCUGAGAGGGUGAUCGGCCACACUGGGACUGAGACACGGCCCAGACUCCUACGGGAGGCAGCAGUAGGGAAUCUUCGGCAAUGGGGGGAACCCUGACCGAGCAACGCCGCGUGAGUGAAGAAGGUUUUCGGAUCGUAAAGCCCUGUUGUAAGAGAAGAACGGGUGUGAGAGUGGAAAGUUCACACUGUGACGGUAUCUUACCAGAAAGGGACGGCUAACUACGUGCCAGCAGCCGCGGUAAUACGUAGGUCCCGAGCGUUGUCCGGAUUUAUUGGGCGUAAAGCGAGCGCAGGCGGUUAGAUAAGUCUGAAGUUAAAGGCUGUGGCUUAACCAUAGUAUGCUUUGGAAACUGUUUAACUUGAGUGCAGAAGGGGAGAGUGGAAUUCCAUGUGUAGCGGUGAAAUGCGUAGAUAUAUGGAGGAACACCGGUGGCGAAAGCGGCUCUCUGGUCUGUAACUGACGCUGAGGCUCGAAAGCGUGGGGAGCAAACAGG